UACUGGGAUGUACUUGGAAUGAUAUGGGGU
RNAcentral lists this non-coding RNA (30 nucleotides) under Rattus norvegicus (Norway rat). Lineage: Eukaryota; Metazoa; Chordata; Mammalia; Rodentia; Muridae. The record is from RNAcentral.